GAGUUUGAUCAUGGCUCAGAACGAACGCUGGCGGCAUGCCUAACACAUGCAAGUCGAACGAAGUCUUCGGACUUAGUGGCGCACGGGUGCGUAACGCGUGGGAAUCUGCCCUUGGGUACGGAAUAACUCAGAGAAAUUUGUGCUAAUACCGUAUAAUGUCUUCGGACCAAAGAUUUAUCGCCCAAGGAUGAGCCCGCGUAAGAUUAGCUAGUUGGUGAGGUAAGAGCUCACCAAGGCGACGAUCUUUAGCUGGUCUGAGAGGAUGAUCAGCCACACUGGGACUGAGACACGGCCCAGACUCCUACGGGAGGCAGCAGUGGGGAAUAUUGGACAAUGGGCGAAAGCCUGAUCCAGCAAUGCCGCGUGAGUGAUGAAGGCCUUAGGUUGUAAAGCUCUUUACCCGGGAUGAUAAUGACAGUACCGGGAGAAUAAGCUCCGGCUAACUCCGUGCCAGCCGCCGCGGUAAG
RNAcentral lists this ribosomal RNA (467 nucleotides) under uncultured microorganism. Its description in RNAcentral is "bacterial SSU rRNA". It matches the Rfam family "Bacterial small subunit ribosomal RNA", at positions 9 to 524 of the family's 1533-position model. The record is from RNAcentral.